This 296-nucleotide ribosomal RNA is filed under the name Lactobacillus delbrueckii subsp. bulgaricus. RNAcentral describes it as "partial 23S ribosomal RNA". It matches the Rfam family "Bacterial large subunit ribosomal RNA", at positions 836 to 1128 of the family's 2925-position model. Lineage: Bacteria; Bacillati; Bacillota; Bacilli; Lactobacillales; Lactobacillaceae. The record is from RNAcentral.
AACUUGGAGAUAGCUGGUUCUCUCCGAAAUAGCUUUAGGGCUAGCGUCGAUGUUAAGUCUCUUGGAGGUAGAGCACUGUUUGGGUGAGGGGUCCAUCCCGGAUUACCAAUCUCAGAUAAACUCCGAAUGCCAAUGAGAUAUAAUCGGCAGUCAGACUGCGAGUGCUAAGAUCCGUAGUCGAAAGGGAAACAGCCCAGACCACCAGCUAAGGUCCCAAAAUAUAUGUUAAGUGGAAAAGGAUGUGGGGUUGCACAGACAACUAGGAUGUUAGCUUAGAAGCAGCUAUUCAUUCAAAG